Molecule: ribosomal RNA, 253 nt
Filed under: uncultured bacterium
Lineage: Bacteria
Description: partial 16S ribosomal RNA
Rfam family: Bacterial small subunit ribosomal RNA
Source: RNAcentral
UACGUAGGGUGCGAGCGUUAAUCGGAAUUACUGGGCGUAAAGGGCGCGUAGGUGGUUAUGUAAGAUUGUUGUGAAAUCCCUGGGCUUAACCUAGGAACUGCAACGAUGACUGUAUAGCUUGAGUAUUGUAGAGGGUAGUGGAAUUUCCGGUGUAGCGGUGAAAUGCGUAGAGAUCGGAAGGAACACCAGUGGCGAAGGCGGCUACCUGGACAAAUACUGACACUGAGGCGCGAAAGCGUGGGUAGCAAACGGG